Long non-coding RNA from Etheostoma cragini (Arkansas darter), 108 nucleotides. RefSeq lists it as uncharacterized. The record is from RefSeq and is a predicted model, not a curated record. The transcript has 4 exons. NCBI's taxonomy places the organism in Eukaryota, Metazoa, Chordata, Actinopteri, Perciformes, Percidae.
UCUCAGCUGCUUUUUGUCAGCCAGAGUCACAAUUUAUUUUAUUUUUUUGCAGGAUGGUAGGGGAAGACACAUCCCUGAUUGGCUCGCCCUGACAUCCUUACCCUAAUC